AAAACAUUUUCUUUUUAAUAAAAGAUAGUCCCUGCCCAAUGAAUUUUUAAUGGCCGCAGUAAAUUGACUGCGAUAAUGUAGCAUAAUUGCUUGUAAUUUUAUUGGUUACUUGUUUGAAUGGGUUAAUGAUAAAAAUAAUUUUUAUUUUCUAUGAAAAUUUUUAUUUCUGGUUAAAAUACUAGAAUUUUAAAAAAAGAAGAGAAGACCCUAAAAGUUUUUUACAAAAAGUUAUGUAUUUUUUUUAGGGAAAAAAUUUUUUUUAAAAAUUUUUAGUCCGGGUUUUAGGCAAAAAUUACUUUAGGGAUAACAGGAAAAUAAAAAUUAAAAGUUCAAAUUUAAAUUUUUGUUUUUUACCUCGAUGUUGAAUUAAAAAAUCUUUUUUUUGCAGGAGAAAAAAAAGAAAGUCUGUUCGACUUUUAAAUAUUUACAUGAUUUGA
RNAcentral lists this ribosomal RNA (437 nucleotides) under Macrostomum lignano. RNAcentral's name for it is "partial 16S ribosomal RNA". It matches the Rfam family "Archaeal large subunit ribosomal RNA", at positions 1902 to 2677 of the family's 2987-position model. The record is from RNAcentral. Lineage: Eukaryota; Metazoa; Platyhelminthes; Macrostomidae.